RNAcentral lists this ribosomal RNA (948 nucleotides) under Pseudomonas aeruginosa. RNAcentral's name for it is "bacterial SSU rRNA". It matches the Rfam family "Bacterial small subunit ribosomal RNA", at positions 56 to 1021 of the family's 1533-position model. The record is from RNAcentral. Lineage: Bacteria; Pseudomonadati; Pseudomonadota; Gammaproteobacteria; Pseudomonadales; Pseudomonadaceae.
UGCAGUCGAGCGGAUGAGGGAGCUUGCUCCUGGAUUCAGCGGCGGACGGGUGAGUAAUGCCUAGGAAUCUGCCUGGUAGUGGGGGAUAACGUCCGGAAACGGGCGCUAAUACCGCAUACGUCCUGAGGGAGAAAGUGGGGGAUCUUCGGACCUCACGCUAUCAGAUGAGCCUAGGUCGGAUUAGCUAGUUGGUGGGGUAAAGGCCUACCAAGGCGACGAUCCGUAACUGGUCUGAGAGGAUGAUCAGUCACACUGGAACUGAGACACGGUCCAGACUCCUACGGGAGGCAGCAGUGGGGAAUAUUGGACAAUGGGCGAAAGCCUGAUCCAGCCAUGCCGCGUGUGUGAAGAAGGUCUUCGGAUUGUAAAGCACUUUAAGUUGGGAGGAAGGGCAGUAAGUUAAUACCUUGCUGUUUUGACGUUACCAACAGAAUAAGCACCGGCUAACUUCGUGCCAGCAGCCGCGGUAAUACGAAGGGUGCAAGCGUUAAUCGGAAUUACUGGGCGUAAAGCGCGCGUAGGUGGUUCAGCAAGUUGGAUGUGAAAUCCCCGGGCUCAACCUGGGAACUGCAUCCAAAACUACUGAGCUAGAGUACGGUAGAGGGUGGUGGAAUUUCCUGUGUAGCGGUGAAAUGCGUAGAUAUAGGAAGGAACACCAGUGGCGAAGCGACACCUGGACUGAUACUGACACUGAGGUGCGAAGCGUGGGGGAGCAAACAGGAUUAGAUACCCUGGUAGUCCACGCCGUAAACGAUGUCGACUAGCCCGUUGGGAUCCUUGAGAUCUUAUGCGCACUAACGCGAUAAGUCGACCGCCGGGGGUACGGCCCAGGUUAAAACUCAAUGAAUUUGAGGCCCGCACAAAGCGUGGACAUGUGUUUAAUUCACAACCGAAACCUUACUGGCUUGAUUGCGAAUUGCAAAUGGGGUGAAUCCCUGCUGGUCGUUG